This is a long non-coding RNA of Nymphaea colorata (pocket water lily), 3602 nucleotides long. RefSeq lists it as uncharacterized. The transcript is spliced from 2 exons. Lineage: Eukaryota; Viridiplantae; Streptophyta; Magnoliopsida; Nymphaeales; Nymphaeaceae. The record is from RefSeq and is a predicted model, not a curated record.
CCAACUCAAAAUUUCUAUGAAUAUGUUCCGUCAUCACUUGUUCCAUGUUUCUUUUAAAAAGCCCUAGCACCUCUAUGUUUCUGCUUUCAUGCUUUUAUAAUUAUCUCAUGUCUGGCCUUGGUUUGGAUCUUGAUGUCAUGCUGGCAUCAAUUGCUGCUCUAGUUGUAGUUUCUUCUCUCAUUGAAGAAAGCAUACUAAAGAGUACAGUAAAAUUGACAAAAGAGAUCCGUGUAAGUACCCUUGUUGUUGUUUAUGCAUUUGCAUGUGUAAAUGGUUUUUUAGUGUUAAGGACUUAAAGAUGCACAUAAUUAGUUUGACUUGGAGAUGUUUCCUUUUUUCCUUUAUCAACGCUAAAAAUUGAGUUGAUUGUAGAAGCAUUAGCUUCGGUUAUUCACAUGUAAGCCGAUUAGUGGGUCAAGGUCUAAAUUGAUUUAAGUUCCAUGUGGAAAACUAAUUAAUUGGUUAUCAACAACAACAUUGUGAUUCUUGGGGUCAUUUAGGGCAUUGGAUUUUUGUAUCAUAAAAAUGAAACCUUAGCUUACGAUGCCUCCUCUUUUAGCUACUAAUGUUUUAUUCAAUCAAUUGAAGACCCAACUUUUAUGGGAACUCAUCACCCUUAAACCAACCUUUUGUAUAGAAGACCCUACUUUUAUGAGAGAGUUGGUGAAGUUCGUUCUUUUAACCAGCCAAGUUUUACAUUCACCCAUCUCUUUAGGGAGUCUAGUUCCUUGCUCCUGGUGACAUACCAUUUGAUGUCAAGAACUUUUGUAAAAGGGAAACUUUUCAGUUUUGCUUAAAAACAUUUUGAAAGUGUUUUCUCACACAAUGAUGUGCCUUACUUUAUUUUUAGUGUCUUUCUAAGUGGAAGGUGGAAAUUUCAAGUUCUUGUUGUCCAUCAAUGGAAGAGGAAAAUUGAGAAAAAUCCUGGAUAUGAGUAGUGAAGAAAAAUCCUGGAUAUGAGUAGUGAAGAAAAAUCCUAUGAAGUUGAGAAAGUCAAGACUAGGAAAUGCUAUUGACUCUGGCGAUCAAGCGUCUGCAAGGAUUUAGCAGGAUAAUUUCUUGAGGGAGAAGCCAAUAUGCUUUGUAAGAUCUUGGCAGGUAGUAAAAUGAGAGUUGAGAGAUGGGCUCUGGGAUUGUGUAGUCGUUCCUCUGAGUCAGUAAUCGAGAGUACCGGGUAGGCAUAAAGGUGAUUUAUGUCUAUUUCGCGAAGAUAAUGACUUACGAACUUUUGGCUCUUUGAAAACCCGUAAGGUGAAGCGGGUUGGACACGUGACAAAGCUACACAUAACCACUAAAGCGGUGGAGCUUCGUAGUAGCCUUUGGGGUGGUGAGGUAUUCCCUCAAAGGUGAAGGUCAGCCUAAAAAAAAUAUCAAACACAGGAAAAAAAUCAAAAGGAAAAAAGCCGAAUGCAAAAGAAGAAAAAAGAAGAAAAAAAAGCAAAAGCUACCUGUCAAGAGAUGAAUGACAUGAAGGCUGAACUCGCAAGAAUUGAAUGUGACAAUCUCUCGUGGAUGUAUGAUUUUAGGGUCAUUAUCUGCUCCUUUUUUUUUAUUAUCUAGGAUGCUGAGGACGAUUCCUUUAUGUUCAUAUUCUGAAAGACAUUCCCUCUAAAGAUUCGACAACAUUGAUGCGAAAUAAGACCUAAUGCUUGUAUGGUACUAUAGGUAAAUUAAGGUUAUAUUAUUUGCACAACACGAGCACUCAAGCUUAUGAGUUGAAUUGAUCAUUUUUUGAACUAUUUCAAAAUUCAAAGUAAAAACUUGACGUCUCUCGUAUGUUUCCAGGCUUCCUAGGCAUAGGAGGAACUAACCACUCUCCCUUUGGUCUUAAAAAUGUUUGCCCAUUUCAUUACCAAAUUGCUAGUCCUUCCAUGAAAUAGAUGAAACCCCUCAAACCUAGUCCAACCAUGUUGAGCGUGAUGAAUUGUCAAUCAUUUCCUUUUGUCUUCGAAGAGGUAGACCAUUUGGGACAAGACCCCGGAACCUUAGUGUCGCCUAUCUUUUUUCAUUAAUUUUGUUUUGUGCAUUAUUUCAUUGUUUUCUUAUUUGUGUAUUUGAAAAGACCCUGGCACCUCUGUGUCGCCUAUCUUUCUUCAUUGUUUCUAGCAGCAGCAGUCCGACCCAUGUAAGUGCUUAAUGUCCUGUACACUCAUUCGUGAUAAUAAUUUUCUAUAAUUAAUAUGUUAGAAGUGAAAUCAUUUUCUAUAAAAGCACAAGGUGAUAUUUUUGAAAAGUUCUAUCGAAGUUGCAUAUUUGUAUGUCCUUGGCUUCACCUAAUCUUGUUUUCGUGAGUUGUAUAAAUUUCAUCUAUUUCAUCUUUAUUUUUAGUUUCAUUCUAGCUGUAGUUAAUAUCUUUUAUGUAUUAUAGUUCUGUAAUAAGAGGAUCAGCCGAGGCCUUCAGCCCUUUGAAUUCUUAAAUGUUUCAAUACUUCUUUAGAAAUGGUUUAUGCCCCUUCUCUUUUUCCCCGCCUUACUAAUUCCUGGCUCCACCCAUGUCUGUAUCCAUGCAUUUUUAUGUCAUCAAUCUAGGGCUUGAAUUUUUUUUUUAUUCCUCUAGCACUUGGGUGGUCCCAAGAUUUUAAUUUACAUGUGACUGGACAUGAUCCUAAAUUGUCUGGUGGUUGUCUUUUAUUUCUAAGAGGCCUCUACUUGGUGGAGGCUUGGUUUCUCGUUUUGCAUUUGAGAGUGACUACAUAAAUUUUGUAUGAGGUGAAUGGUUCCAACUUUGUGUAUUUAGACAAUGCAGCUACAUCUCAAAAGCCAUAUGUUGUUGAGGAUGUUCUCUGUGAUUAUGUGAGGGCUACAGCUCAAAUGUUCAGCACGAUAUUCAUUACUUAAGGUGUAGUGGACUAUGUCGAGAAUAUAAUCAGGGUCUCCAACAGAUCUCAACUACCUGGAAUAUCUGUCACAUUCCUAACCGUGCCUUUUAUAAUCAGGCUGAUAAAGCAUCUAUAUAAUCAUAUUGUGUCAUUAUUUAUUGAAGCUCUGCAUAUGUUGACAGACAACCAUUGAUUGAAGCAUGAAAUUAAAGUGGGGUCUUCAUCUCUUUCCAUGGAAAGAGAUAUGGAUUGAGUUCAAUAAUUUUGUGGUGUUUGUGGAUCAGGUCACUAGGAGUCCUCCAUUACCCUCUGACAACCAUGACACGUCAACCACCACUCUGGCCAUCUAGAAUCUGCAAUACAGCAUCUGACGCAAUGGUGCAGUUAGUAGAUCUCUCUUUGAAACCCAAUAUGAUUUUGCAUGCCCUACAAUGCUAGCUGUGUUGUCAAUUUUCUGGAUUUUUCAAAAUGAUUAUCAGUGUGACUGCAUGCAUCCUCAGGAAUAGAUGCACGAAUUUGUACUUCUUGCAAAGCUCUUAGAUUUUUCUAUUGUUUUCAAUGAUAUUCAGAUAUAUUUUAUGUGCGUUAUGGACAAAUUUGUGGCCCUCAAACACAAUGCUUUGUUCAAUGCUCAAGUUGUUGAUUGGUUGGCUGGAGGGUUAUGGAUUAGCCCCAUUUAUUACUUUAGUGUUUUGUUUGUCUAUCAUUGUUCACAGAUAAAGUUACUGUUGUCUUUGUUGAAGUUUCCUUUUGAGCAAUGUUAUGCUGAUAAAUUUGUGGUUU